CUCGCUGCUUCUCCGUUUUUGUCCUUGUCUUUAUGCCAAGGACAAACGUUUUCCAAAUGUUGUUUUAAUUUUGUAGGUCUCUUAGUUAGAACCAUUCGUUAAAACUUUAACGCAAAUGACACAUUGAGAUGUCUCUGCUCAACAAAGCUUUCAUUGUGUUUGACAGCCAGCCCCGAGGUUUGAAUAUCACCGGCCACUAACCGGUCGUGUUAUGGUUGAUGGAAAGGACGGAUGUAUUAGGUGACCAAAAAAAAGAAAUCAAGGUGGAAUUUAUAUAAUAAUUAAUAUUUGUGUAUUGGGAUGAAAAGAAAACUUAAAUGACUACAACAGUGGUGAAAAGGAUGGGUGGGGGGGGGUUGCUUAUUGCUGAAAAAUACAGGUAAUUCACUUAUAACCUUAGGGGGUACAAAUUAAAUGAGCGGUACGCUGACCGUGAACCUGGU
Molecule: non-coding RNA, 443 nt
Organism: Cinara cedri
Lineage: Eukaryota; Metazoa; Arthropoda; Insecta; Hemiptera; Aphididae
Source: the annotation of a GenBank genome assembly